Molecule: ribosomal RNA, 320 nt
Filed under: uncultured eukaryote
Lineage: Eukaryota
Description: partial 18S ribosomal RNA
Rfam family: Eukaryotic small subunit ribosomal RNA
Source: RNAcentral
CCCCUAGAUGUUCUGGUCCUCACGCGCGCUACACUGAACAGUUCAACAAGUCUUAACCUUGGCCGAUAGGUCUGGGUAAUCUUUGAACGCUGUUCGUGAUUGGGAUAGACCUUUGCAAUUAUGGGUCUUCAACGAGGAAUUCCUAGUAAACGCAAGUCAUCAGCUUGCAUUGAUUACGUCCCUGCCCUUUGUACACACCGCCCGUCGCACCUACCGAUUGAAUGGUCCGGUGAAAUCUCGGGACGGCGGCUUGGUCGCUUGCGUCCGACUGCUGAAACUUGAUUAAACCAUAUCAUUUAGAGGAAGGUGAAGUCGUAACA